UGAGCUCCUAGAUGUGUUAGAAUGAUUCCACCCAGGCAGAGGCAGCCACCAACUGCCCCGUCAACCGGCAUCUCUCUGGACUUCUACUUUGGCCACGAUGACAUGGCUCUGGAAGGUGAACUGGCCAAGCAUCUCUGGAAGAUGCAAAGCCAGCGUGGCAGCCUGCUCUUUUGCAGGACCUGCAGAUGAGAUGAAUGGGAUAAAACCCUGGACGCCGUGGGGGUAGCCCUGGCCCUGGAGAGGAGCCUGAACCUGGGUUCUGCUGACACAGACGUCACCUCUGGGACUUCCUAGAGAGGCCUUUCCUAGAUGGGGGAGUGAAACUCGUCAAGAGGGUGGAUGAUCACCUGACCUCUGCGGGCUGGCCACCUGGAGCCGGGCCAGG
This 385-nucleotide long non-coding RNA is filed under the name Homo sapiens (human). Its description in RNAcentral is "non-protein coding lnc-MTRNR2L1-17:1". Lineage: Eukaryota; Metazoa; Chordata; Mammalia; Primates; Hominidae. The record is from RNAcentral.